This is a long non-coding RNA of Chenopodium quinoa (quinoa), 721 nucleotides long. RefSeq lists it as uncharacterized. The record is from RefSeq and is a predicted model, not a curated record. The transcript has 3 exons. NCBI's taxonomy places the organism in Eukaryota, Viridiplantae, Streptophyta, Magnoliopsida, Caryophyllales, Amaranthaceae.
UGAUUGAUGUCUUGAUAACCAAGCAUUAGUCCUUCGAACUUGGUUGGGUAUUACCCACUGUGCCAAUACUUAAUCCUUUCCCUAGAGUUGAGAUUGCUAACUCAAGCGGGUUUUUGGAGCGCCAAAAGUAAGAAACACUAAAACAUUAAAAAAAAAAAAAAAAAAAAAAUUGUCAUUAGACGUCCCUUUUUUGUUACCUGAAAUAACUGUCACCCGAAUUUUAGGUCAUGAGAAGUCAAUUUCUAUCAUCAAAUUGCAGGAGCAAGCAACAUUCGGCUAUUUUUCAAAUGCCUGUAAUUAUAAACUUUUGCUUUGGACAAGCACAGUGCCAACCGAAUAUUUAGCACUGCAUGGGUUAAAAGGGAUGAUGAUAUCGUUGAUUCUUUCCAGGACCCCUAGGGGAUCAAUCACUUCAGGUUUAUUGAGCGCCUCAAAUUCCUUCCUUUGAAGAUUCAUUAUAUGAGCACAAAUUAAAUCUGCGAUUCGAGUAUCACUUGCUUUAAAAGUCGCUUGGGUGAGUAAAUUAUUAUAGCUGUGAAAAGUAAAGAAGUGUGCAUAAUUAUUAUGCUUAUUGCAUCGUAUAAUGCAAAAAGAGAAACACAAGACAUUUGACAUAGACACAUUCUCUUUGAUGUUCAUAUGUCCCAAGCUUUGUUCUCUUUUCUGUCUAUUUUGUUGUGCUCUUACUGAUGAGUGAGUAAAGAAUACUGAUUGAUGAGUA